RNAcentral lists this transfer RNA (63 nucleotides) under Azumapecten farreri. RNAcentral's name for it is "tRNA-His". Lineage: Eukaryota; Metazoa; Mollusca; Bivalvia; Pectinida; Pectinidae. The record is from RNAcentral.
GUUUCUAUGGUGUAUAGAGCAUAAAAGGUUGUGGUCCUUUACGAAGCGAGAGUCUUGGGGGUC